Long non-coding RNA from Sander lucioperca (pikeperch), 240 nucleotides. RefSeq lists it as uncharacterized. NCBI's taxonomy places the organism in Eukaryota, Metazoa, Chordata, Actinopteri, Perciformes, Percidae. The record is from RefSeq and is a predicted model, not a curated record. The transcript has 3 exons.
AUUUAAAUGAAGUCGGGCGAUUCCGGGGCUGUUUCAUGUUAAACAAAAAGGAUCUUACUCUUUAACAAAACGGUUGACCUCUGAAGGGACCCUUUCCAUAUUGUCAGACAUUCAGAACAAUAAUCUGAGCAUGACAGUGGCAAAACAAGCACUUUGGUGGAUGUAAAUUAACGGUGUGCAAUUGCCCAAUAACUUAAAUUGUAGCUUGUUUCGCCGCUGCCGACUGCAGCAAUCUCACUU